RNAcentral lists this long non-coding RNA (382 nucleotides) under Hordeum vulgare. RNAcentral describes it as "long non-coding RNA (HVUL_LNC011638)". The record is from RNAcentral. Lineage: Eukaryota; Viridiplantae; Streptophyta; Magnoliopsida; Poales; Poaceae.
CGAUUUUAAUACACCGAUAAACGUCCGACGGUAGACCGAAUACGGUGCCGCUAUGAUCGACCGUUCGGGUACGAGACGGACUCCGAUCGCGACAAAAUUCGACUGGUGGCCUAGCUAUAACUAAUCACGACCGCAUGCCAAGUUUCACCCCGAUCAGAGAAAGUUUUUCACACACUUUUAAAACAGGGUUACAACGAUGCCGCGGGCGCGUGCGAGUGCGGUCGGACUCAGAACGAACAACGACGAGAACCGGCAACUAACAACAGAUGCAACUUUUGAAAACUAACGGCAACAGAGAUGCCGAUGCAAUGCAGAUGAUGCGAAUGAUGCGAUGAUGAUGCAACAAAAGAAAAUAGACACACGACGAAAACGGAAUAAAGGG